This 84-nucleotide transfer RNA is filed under the name bacterium. RNAcentral describes it as "tRNA-Leu". It matches the Rfam family "tRNA". From Rfam's summary of the family: Transfer RNA (tRNA) molecules are approximately 80 nucleotides in length. Their secondary structure includes four short double-helical elements and three loops (D, anti-codon, and T loops). The record is from RNAcentral.
GGGGAUAUGGCGGAACUGGUAGACGCGCUAGCUUCAGGAGCUAGUGAUAGCAAUAUCGUGAGAGUUCGACUCUCUCUAUCCCCA